CAGUAGCCACGGUAAAACGGAGGAUCCAAGCGUUAUCCGGAAUCAUUGGGUUUAAAGGGUCCGUAGGCGGUCUUGUAAGUCAGUGGUGAAAGCCCAUCGCUCAACGGUGGAACGGCCAUUGAUACUGCAGGACUUGAAUUAUUGGGAAGUAACUAGAAUAUGUAGUGUAGCGGUGAAAUGCUUAGAGAUUACAUGGAAUACCAAUUGCGAAGGCAGGUUACUACCAAUUGAUUGACGCUGAUGGACGAAAGCGUGGGUAGCGAACAGGAUUAGAUACCCGUGUAGUCCCUGUCUCUUAUAC
RNAcentral lists this ribosomal RNA (301 nucleotides) under uncultured bacterium. Its description in RNAcentral is "partial 16S ribosomal RNA". It matches the Rfam family "Bacterial small subunit ribosomal RNA", at positions 509 to 807 of the family's 1533-position model. The record is from RNAcentral.